CUCCUUAUCUGACUCGCUUUCUCUGUGUUCGCAGCACUGGACACCAGCCCUCAUGGUGUUCUGGUGAAACCUGGCCACAGUCGGUGCUGCAGGCCGUCUGCUACAUGGAAGAGAUGGUGACGACACCGCAGUGUGAUGGUGCCUCUUAGUGUCUUUGGCAGCUUCUGUUCUUGCCUUGGCAUCCAGCAAGUGAAGGUACUCGGAGGUACCCGGCUUGCUCGCCUUGGCCUGGCACAGCGGGUGUGUGAGCCAUCACAGGCUGCCAUUCACUCGCUGCCUCUGCAGGCUCAGGGCUCCACACCUGAGGGAUGGAGCCACGGCAUGGCCAAGCAUGGGCGCGCACAUGCUGCUCUGCGCCUUGCUUGUUGCUGAGCCUCGGAUCUCUUCCCAUGGGAGCCUCCCGGAUCGCUGUGUGGCUGUGAGCGGCGUCCAGCACCCGUGUGCCGCCGGACUCGGCUGUGUGCUGGCUGACGCUCGGCACUCGCCACCUUGCCUGCUGCAGCAAGAGCACUUCCUGAGGUGCCCUCCCAGCUGCUUUAGCACCAGGCCGUCAGCACCUGAGGUGCCCCCCAAGCCCACAGGACGGGCCCUAAGGCUGAAGAGCUGGAGUGCAGACGGUGAGUCCUCAGUGCCCAGAGAGGCCGAGCAGCGCCUGUUACCUGUGCUGGGAAGAUCUGCUGGCAGGCUGUAGAGAGGUUGUCGCUGGUGUCCUGCUGCUCCGAGUCCAGCACUGGCUGGCCAGCCCUGAGCAGACAGCCUUCCCCAGGCUCCCAAGGGACCAGUGGCAGGGCAGGACACCCCUUCCCUUUGGGUUCACGGCAGCUUGGCCCUGCUCUCCUGUACCCCCAGCUGGGCAUGCCCAGGCCUUCCUCGGGUGGUCCGCCUCCCCUGCUGUUCCUCCGGGGCUCGAGCCACAGCGGCCUGCCUUGGCUCAGCCGGAGCCUUGGCCAGCUCUUUGAAGCCAGAUUGUUCCUGGCUGGGAACUCCUCGUUCU
This is a long non-coding RNA of Ochotona curzoniae (black-lipped pika), 994 nucleotides long. RefSeq lists it as uncharacterized. The record is from RefSeq and is a predicted model, not a curated record. The transcript is spliced from 2 exons. NCBI's taxonomy places the organism in Eukaryota, Metazoa, Chordata, Mammalia, Lagomorpha, Ochotonidae.